This 256-nucleotide ribosomal RNA is filed under the name uncultured bacterium. RNAcentral describes it as "partial 16S ribosomal RNA". It matches the Rfam family "Bacterial small subunit ribosomal RNA", at positions 524 to 776 of the family's 1533-position model. The record is from RNAcentral.
UACAGAGGUCUCAAGCGUUGUUCGGAUUCAUUGGGCGUAAAGGGUGUGUAGGUGGCGCCGUUAAGUCGGGGUGUGAAAAUUUCGGAGCUUAACUCCGAACCUGCAUUCGAUACUGCGGUGCUUGAGGACUGGAGAGGAGACUGGAAUUCAUGGUGUAGCAGUGAAAUGCGUAGAGAUCAUGAGGAAGACCAGUGGCGAAGGCGGGUCUCUGGGCCGUAACUGACGCUGAGGAGCGAAAGCAUGGGGAGCGAACAGG